UAGGGAAUCUUCCACAAUGGACGCAAGUCUGAUGGAGCAACGCCGCGUGAGUGAAGAAGGUUUUCGGAUCGUAAAGCUCUGUUGGUGGUGAAGAAGGAUAGAGGCAGUAACUGGUCUUUAUUUGACGGUAAUCAACCAGAAAGUCACGGCUAACUACGUGCCAGCAGCCGCGGUAAUACGUAGGUGGCAAGCGUUGUCCGGAUUUAUUGGGCGUAAAGCGAGCGCAGGCGGAAUGAUAAGUCUGAUGUGAAAGCCCACGGCUCAACCGUGGAACUGCAUCGGAAACUGUCAGUCUUGAGUGCAGAAGAGGAGAGUGGAAUUCCAUGUGUAGCGGUGGAAUGCGUGGAUAUAUGGAAGAACACCAGUGGCGAAGGCGGCUCUCUGGUCUGCCACUUACGCUGAGGCUCGAAAGCAUGGGUAGCGAACAGG
RNAcentral lists this ribosomal RNA (429 nucleotides) under bacterium. RNAcentral describes it as "partial 16S ribosomal RNA". It matches the Rfam family "Bacterial small subunit ribosomal RNA", at positions 355 to 776 of the family's 1533-position model. The record is from RNAcentral.